Molecule: transfer RNA, 85 nt
Organism: Felis catus (domestic cat)
Lineage: Eukaryota; Metazoa; Chordata; Mammalia; Carnivora; Felidae
Rfam family: tRNA
About the family: Transfer RNA (tRNA) molecules are approximately 80 nucleotides in length. Their secondary structure includes four short double-helical elements and three loops (D, anti-codon, and T loops). Further hydrogen bonds mediate the characteristic L-shaped molecular structure. tRNAs have two regions of fundamental functional importance: the anti-codon, which is responsible for specific mRNA codon recognition, and the 3' end, to which the tRNAs corresponding amino acid is attached (by aminoacyl-tRNA synthetases). tRNAs cope with the degeneracy of the genetic code in two manners: having more than one tRNA (with a specific anti-codon) for a particular amino acid; and 'wobble' base-pairing, i.e. permitting non-standard base-pairing at the 3rd anti-codon position.
Source: Rfam
ACCUGGGUGGCUCAGUGGGUUAAGCGUCUGACUUUGGCUCAGGUCACGAUCUCACGGUGCGUGGGUUCGAGCCCCACGUCGGGCU